UUGCAUAGUUUGUGCAAUUAUGUAGAGGAAAGUCCAUGCUCACAAGAACUGUGAUGUUCUUAGUGUUUGUGUUUAGGGAAAAAAUAACCUAAAGUAGCUUUGUAAGAAUUAUAGAUUAUUCUUUAGUUCUUUGAAGUUAACGGCUUUUUCAAAACCUAAGUUUUUGUAAUAUGGUCUUGAGAAUAUAAAAGUGCCAAAGAGACGAGCCUUAUGGAAACAUAAGGAGUGGAACGCGGUAAACCCCACAAGUGAGAAACCCAAAUUUUGGUAGGGGAGUUUUGAUCUAGGAAAAUAGAACUUGGAUCAAGAAUCUUUAUUUUAAAGAUAGAUAAAUGUUUGCCACCUUAAUUUUUAAGGUACAGAACAUGGCUUAUU
Molecule: RNase P RNA, 375 nt
Filed under: human gut metagenome
Also listed under: 1 other name
Description: Bacterial RNase P class B
Rfam family: Bacterial RNase P class B
About the family: Ribonuclease P (RNase P) is a ubiquitous endoribonuclease, found in archaea, bacteria and eukarya as well as chloroplasts and mitochondria. Its best characterised activity is the generation of mature 5'-ends of tRNAs by cleaving the 5'-leader elements of precursor-tRNAs.
Source: RNAcentral